AACCUUGCGCGGGAAGCACAGGGUGCAUCAUCAGAUUGGCUGAUAUCAGGAGAUUACCUCGCAGACAAUAUCGAUAGAAAAUUAUCAUCCAUUCAUCCUUCUUGGUGAUUUCGUAGCAAAGCAUAGCAAAGAUUAUGCCGUCUAUGUAUAUACAAAGGUGACCUUAACUAGAAGAGAACGCGUAUGCUGGGUAUACAAUACUAUCAGAAAACAGAUAAUUAACGUCGGGUGUUGAUACGAGUUCGAGUCCACUAUCCCAGCUGUCAAUACAUGGCCAGAAGUCCUUUGCGAUAGAGCCGAUAGCCGCUGUUUUUGGCUCUUUUAGACAGUCUAUAGUCCUCUGCAGUUUGGCAUUAAUUGGCCGUCUCGUGUCUCUAGUGUUUUAAAGCGUUGAGUAGUAGCAAUAAGAGCUUGUCGUCACUUGGACCUGUUUUGCGCCAAAAUAAUAACCUCUUUGUGAAGACUCAUAAGGAGUAGACCUCAAGGUUGCUAUAGGCUUGAGUGCCUCCGACCAACACUUCACUUUGUGCGCGGAGGAAUAGCAUUUGUGUAUGACUAAAAAGUGCAUCCGAAAGGGUAAAAAAGAGAACUUAAUUUUGGCCGGGACAAGAUAGCCAGGAUUUGCUAAGAGGAAUAUGCUGGAAUUAAUAUUAUGUGUAAAGUGCUACGAUGGAUUACAAGUUAUGGGGCUUAUAGCUAUUAAGAACAGGAAAGGGGAAGGUUUAUAAGUUAUGGGAUUUAUAGCUACUAAGAACAUGAAACAGGGAUUUGGGAUUUAGAUAAAGCCUGGGAGACGGAGAUGGGGAUGUGCAACAUCGAGUCCCGAGUGUUAGCGGCAUGCAAUCUAUUUCUAACCAAUUCCCCGUUUCCACUUCAUCCUAUGUGGAUCUUGUUUUUUUUUUUUUCGAAGAGUCCGUUGUUUGUUCCCGGAAACAUUUGUAUAUACUGUACACGUUUCUCACUUUCCCGACUUUGCCAGCGAUUAUUCAUUAGUUUUAGGCUUUCAGAGUUGGGUGAAAUGAAUCAAAUCUAAUGGUUCAAAUCUGACACUUUAAAACUCACAUAACUCACGCAGGAAAAGAGUCCAUUCUAUGCUUGCACCGGACGUUGUGCCGUUGAUCACUGUUCGGAUAGUGACGGAGUUGUUCCCUGUUGCAUCCUGCCUUCCCUCGCCAAAUUAGAGGCGGCACAUUUUGUAUUUCUCGACUGGAAUAUUUUGUAUUUUGUACUAAAAUGUACUUAGAGCCUCCGGCUGACGUUUGGGCUAAUUGAAACCUUACAAAUUUCUAACACAUUUAUUAUGAUAAUAAUAAACGUUUUGAUUAUUUAGGCAACGAAAUUAUUCAUGGGCGCGGUGCAUCGCGGGCUAGGAUAUCCAGACCAUCUUCAAAUGCAUUGUCUCCAAGACGGGGAGAAAUAUCGCACGAGAAUUCCACGAACGGCCAGUAAUAACAACUCGUGUAUGCACCAAGCAUCUAGAACAUUCUUAAAAAGCAACAGCUUUACUUCCAUUGCCCUUUGCCACCAGAAUCGAUUUUAGAUAUGAGGAAUCGUGUUCCUAAUAUUUCCGGCUGUACAGACUCAUCAGCAGUUCAUGAUCUCGGUGUCACCAAGACUCUGCUUAAUAAGUCAGUCCACGUGAAGGGCUUAGCGCAGUUACCCUUACAGUGUUACAAAUUGCACAAAGUUAAAGCAAAACCACAAAAUAAUCUACUCGAUGAUUUUACGAUCUUUGAUGUAGAAGGAUCAUUUCCAUUUCUGGCCCUUUUAGAGCAUCGGGGCGACGAUGAUGAUGGAGGGAUAACGGAGGAUUUUAGUAAUUAACACAUUCGUUUCAAAUAUAAGACUCGAAUGAUGCAGACCGUUAUAAGACUACACUUAUCACGCAUAUCUAAGACUCAAAUGAUAAAGACCAUGAUAAUAAGACUACACUUAUCACGCCUAUCUAAGAAUCGAAUGAUGAAGACCCUUAUAAAACUACACUUAUCACGCCUAUUUAAGACCCAAAUUAUACUUAGUUCUUUGGCGAACACAUUAUUCCUUUUCCAGAGUUGAAUGGAAACAAAAAGAAAGUUGUGGCUGACAAGAGCUCUUUCAGAUUUCGCCGGAGCAUGUAGGGUCUUGUACAGCAGCAACAUUUAGACAUUUUUUUCAGGGUCUUGUAUGUGGUCUAUGUGGAGGGUUGGUUACUCGACGCGUGUUCGCAGAGCACCAUCCCGAGAUGGGGGCAUUUCAUUGUACGAAACACCACACAUUGAUAACCUCAGGCUCUAAGUCAUAUGUUGGUUUAAAGGGGCUAUAUCAUAUACUGGUUUAAAGAGGCUAAAUUCAUAUGCUGGUUUAAUUGGGCUAAAGGGGUUGUAUCACAUGUUGGUUUAAAGGGAUUAUGUCACAUGUUGGUUUGAAGGGAUUAUGUCACAUGUUGGUUUAAAGGGGAUUAUGUCACAUGUUGGUUUAAAGGGAUUAUGUCACAUGUUGGUUUAAAAUGGCUUAUGUCAUAUGCUGGUUUAAAGGUAUUAUGUCACAUGUUGGUUUAAAGGGAUUAUAUCACAUAUUGGUUUAAAGGGAUUAUGUCACAUGUUGGUUUAAAGGGAUUAUGUCACAUGUUGGUUAAGGGAUUAUGUCACAUGUUGGUUUAAAGGGAUUAUGUCACAUGUUGGUUUAAAGCGAUUAUGUCAUAUGCUGGUUUUAAAGGGAUUAUGUCACAUGUUGGUUUAAAGGGAUUAUGUCACAUGUUGGUUUAAAGGGAUUAUAUCACAUGUUGGUUUAAAGGGAUUAUGUCACAUGUUGGUUUAAGGGGAUUAUGUCACAUGUUGGUUUAAAGGGAUUAUGUCACAUGUUGGUUUAAAGGGAUUAUGUCACAUGUUGGUUUAAAGGGAUUAUGUCACAUGUUGGUUUAAAGUGAUUAUGUCACAUGCUGGUUUAAAGGGAUUAUGUCACAUGUUGGUUUAAAGUGAUUAUGUCACAUGCUGGUUUAAAGGGAUUAUGUCACAUGUUGGUUUAAAGGGAUUAUGUCACAUGUUGGUUUAAAGGGAUUAUGUCACAUGUUGGUUUAAAGGGCUUAUGUCAUAUGCUGGUUUAAAGGGAUUAUGUCACAUGUUGGUUAAGGGAUUAUAUCACAUGUUGGUUUAAAGGGCUUAUGUCAUAUGCUGGUUUAAAGGGAUUAUGUCACAUGUUGGUUAAGGGGAUUAUGUCACAUGUUGGUUUAAAGAGAUUAUGUCACAUGUUGGUUUAAAGGGAUUAUGUCACAUGUUGGUUUAAAGGGAUUAUGUCACAUGCUGGUUUAAAGGGAUUAUGUCACAUGUUGGUUUAAAGGGAUUAUGUCACAUGUUGGUUAAGGGAUUAUAUCACAUGUUGGUUUAAAGGGCUUAUGUCACAUGUUGGUUAAGGGAUUAUAUCACAUGUUGGUUUAAAGGGCUUAUGUCAUAUGCUGGUUUAAAGGGAUUAUGUCACAUGUUGGUUUAAGGGGAUUAUGUCACAUGUUGGUUUAAAGAGAUUAUGUCACAUGUUGGUUUAAAGGGAUUAUGUCACAUGUUGGUUUAAAGGGAUUAUGUCACAUGUUGGUUUAAAGGGAUUAUGUCACAUGCUGGUUUAAAGGGAUUAUGUCACAUGUUGGUUUAAAGGGCUUAUGUCAUAUGCUGGUUUAAAGGGAUUAUGUCACAUGUUGGUUUAAAGGGAUUAUGUCACAUGUUGGUUUGGAAGGAUUUGUGAUAUGCCAUGUGUUGCAGGCACAAAAACAAAAGCGCUUGAAAAAACAGGACCCUCGAUAGUCAGAAUCGAAUUUUCCUUUAGCACAAGUGUUAUUCUAUGAUCGCCUAAGGGGUCUGCCUAAUUUGCCUUCCUUUGCCCUCGACUCGACGUCUACUCUUCUGUACUUCAGUAUUUCACCUUCAAGAAAUGUGAUUAGCCUCCAAAAUGUCUUUUAUUUAGCCUGAUUACGAAUUAUUUGCCCCAAAA
Molecule: long non-coding RNA, 3957 nt
Organism: Nematostella vectensis (starlet sea anemone)
Lineage: Eukaryota; Metazoa; Cnidaria; Anthozoa; Actiniaria; Edwardsiidae
Exons: 2
Source: RefSeq, a predicted model, not a curated record